GCCAUCACAAACAUUUACGCCCCCUCAACACGCGCUCUCAAGAAAUCCUUCCUCGAUGAAUUGAUAGCUAUCGCCCAACCAGAUGACUCACCCUGGCUACUUGUGGGUGACUUCAACCUCCUCCGUUUCCCCUCUAACAAAAACAAUGAUGCGUUUAGACAUACCGAGGCCAAUGCAUUUAACCAAACUCUUGAUGACCUAGCCCUCAUAGAAUUACCACUUCUAGACCGCCAAUUCACCUGGUCCAACAAUAGAGCCACACCCACCCUAGAACGGAUCGACCGUGCCUUUUUUAACUUAGCUUGGGCUGAUGCCUUUCCCAAUUCCUCCCUCACAUCCCUCACGCGUUUCACGUCUGACCACAUCCCCCUCCUCAUCCACGUCACCACAGCAAUCCCGCGGCCCAACUUUUUUAAAUUCGAACCUGGUUGGGCAAAUUUCCAGCCCUGCCGAGAUACAAUCCGCUCGGUUUGGGCUUCUCCACGGCCCACCUCGGCCACCAAUUUUGCCGCCACCCUUGCAUCCCUGCUCAAACAAACUCAAGCUGGACUCAAAAAAUGGGCACGUGCAUUCCAGCCCCCCUCCACGAAUCUCAUUGCAAAAUUGCUAUCGCUGCCCUCGAUCACGUUGAGGAAUCCAGGCCUCUCUCCCCACCAGAACUCCUCACCCGCAAGAUCAUCAUAUCUAUCCUUAAAUGCACUAUCCUAG
Molecule: ribosomal RNA, 708 nt
Filed under: Triticum aestivum (bread wheat)
Lineage: Eukaryota; Viridiplantae; Streptophyta; Magnoliopsida; Poales; Poaceae
Description: partial small subunit ribosomal RNA
Source: RNAcentral